RNAcentral lists this ribosomal RNA (429 nucleotides) under Fusobacteriota bacterium. Its description in RNAcentral is "Fusobacteria bacterium partial 16S ribosomal RNA". It matches the Rfam family "Bacterial small subunit ribosomal RNA", at positions 355 to 776 of the family's 1533-position model. Lineage: Bacteria; Fusobacteriati; Fusobacteriota. The record is from RNAcentral.
UGGGGAAUAUUGCACAAUGGGCGCAAGCCUGAUGCAGCCAUGCCGCGUGUAUGAAGAAGGCCUUCGGGUUGUAAAGUACUUUCAGCGGGGAGGAAGGGAGUAAAGUUAAUACCUUUGCUCAUUGACGUUACCCGCAGAAGAAGCACCGGCUAACUCCGUGCCAGCAGCCGCGGUAAUACGGAGGGUGCAAGCGUUAAUCGGAAUUACUGGGCGUAAAGCGCACGCAGGCGGUUUGUUAAGUCAGAUGUGAAAUCCCCGGGCUCAACCUGGGAACUGCAUCUGAUACUGGCAAGCUUGAGGCUCGUAGAGGGGGGUAGAAUUCCAGGUGUAGCGAUGAAAUGCGUAGAGAUCUGGAGGAAUACCGGUGGCGAAGGCGGCCCCCUGGACGAAGACUGACGCUCAGGUGCGAAAGCGUGGGGAGCAAACAGG